Molecule: long non-coding RNA, 2053 nt
Filed under: Varroa destructor (honeybee mite)
Lineage: Eukaryota; Metazoa; Arthropoda; Arachnida; Mesostigmata; Varroidae
Description: uncharacterized LOC111249213, transcript variant X1
Source: RNAcentral
CGACGUUCCUUUUCGCACCACGCUGUCGACUGAAAGACACAGUCAGUGGUAUCUAUGCAUCUAAAAUGUUAAUGCUGCAGAUGAAACAUGCGGGAUAUGACAGUCAAGCAAGUCCUUCAAGCAGUUCUUUUGUGUCUUGCAACACAAAUUAUCGUAGAGUAGUGACAGUAGAGACCUACCGUUAAAGCAUAAUGUGCGUCAAGUAACCAAGAUCGACUGGAAUCAUCGAUACAGGUAGUCAAAGACGUAUCGAAUUCGUUAACAGCCGUUGCCGAAACGGAAGAGCGUCUUGUAGUCAGCUUAAACUUUAUUAGAUGUUAAGAACCUAUCCGAACUAGUAUAAAAAUAUGUAGAAGCUAUUGAAAUAUUCUAGAAAUUUUUCAUGAAAUCUAAGCGACUGAAUUCGGGUCAAUGAUUUGAAACGGUUGGAGCGAAACGGUUAUUUUUGUAUUUGUAUAAUAAUAAGCGUUUUUAAAACUAUUAGUAAUUGUCACAUGAAAUGUAAAAGACAUUAAUAUCUCAUUUUAAUCUUCGUCUUGAUGCUGUCGAGUGAUAUCGUAUUGAAUAACUCUUGAUUAUCUUCAAUAUUUCGUUCCCUCUUGUCUGUUGCUAUAUUGUCUGAUAUUCGAAAAUGCCCUUAUCAGCAAAUCUGUUGCAAUUUUAGCAGCAGGCGGUAAACAAAUUUUGUCAGAUUCAGAGAUGAAAAAAAAAAGUUAUUUUGGAGACCUACUUUAUUCCGCAUUUUCGAAGAAGGGCAGCCGGAAAUACUUCGUAAACUUGACGGGAAAGUUAAUUGCAAUCGUGUUCAUAGCCAAGUACCCUACACCUAUGGGAUUUACUUGAAAAUUGAAAGCUCAAGUGUUCCAUGAACGGAGUGAUUGUCACAAAGAUCGUUUCUUACUGCUUCUAAACGUCUCUUCCUCCAGCGAGUUACGCGCAGCUAUGAUGAUAGGCUUCCAUAAAAAUUAUUACCGGUGAUCAGAGACGGUGUCUUUACGUCAACAUAAAGUGGAGAAGAAAAGUUAGAUUUAAAGAGAUAACGCCUAAACCCAAAGUCGAUCCAGGUCUCAAUAUCUAGAAAAUAAUAAUCUGCGUUUGUUGGUAUUGGAUUGGUGUAAUAUACGGGGAUUUACUUGAAACAACAAUAUGGUCAAUGAAGAGCUGCAUGUGUGUCAAUUGUAUCGAGUGGAUUAAACUAUUUAACAGAUGAUCUGAUAGACAAGGCAGUCAUCAAUCCACACGAUGAUGCCAAGCCGCAUAUAGCGAAAAUUGUUAAAACUGCUCUGUUAGUGGGAGGUUUCUCUGCAUUCACUUCCGCUCCGAUGGAUUAUCGUUUCUUCUGCUCAAUGCCAAAUGAAAUAUCGUAACCAUGAAUUAAAUGUAAAUGGGUGUCAAAACCCGGGUGGAUGGGUUUAACGUCAGACUUGAACAUUUCUGACUAAAAGAAAUAUACUUUUUAGUUAAAAGUUGGGAUAGAGGGUGGAGAGUGACGGUGCAUACAAAGAAACUUAUUUCUUUGAAGAAUUAAACUAACAUUGCGUUUUUCGUAAGACAAUGAGGAAAAACACCUAACAUAUAAAAUUUGUUGAACAUGAGAAAAGUAAUCUGAAGAAAGAGAUUCCCUGCUUAUCAAUAUUGCCAUUGUCAUGUGCUUUUUCAUUCGCUUUUAGCUAGACGGAUAUUCGUGUUCGUUACAUAUUUCAGUUAGAAUAUAGGAUGGAACGCUACCGCAAUAUUUCGAUUUCGAUAGUGAUUGAAAAUUGAAACCUCUUAUAAAAUAGCCAGGUAUAGUGGGGCCAAUAGGAUUUAAUAACGUUUGACAACUCACCGUAUUAUAUUGUCAUAAAUAUCAUUCAAGAAAUAAAAUGCUGUUACUAUUUGGCUUAUGUAUCAGGCAAACGGAUAAAUAAACUCGAAGACAAUAGCCUAUUCAGUGAUUUGUAUAAACUUGUCAGGGUCUACCAGGAAAAAGUUGUUUCAUUCUGACACCGUUGUGUAGUUUAUAAACGAUAAAAAAAACACUGGAUUUAAUUUUAACAUUGGACAAUGAUAG